ACGCCUUCUAUUAAGACGCGCGGGAUCGUUAUCGAUUGGAGGUUAAGCCUUCAAGCCGGAUCAUACGGUUUGAGGAGUCACCACUUGAUUGAACUGCCGGUCUUCAGAGGGACGAGUGGGAUUAGCCAUCGGCCACCUGAUCACAUGCGGGGUGGGAGAGGCUCGGUGUAAGCAUUGUCAGGAGAAUCGCACUGAUAAUACGGGUGUGGAUGACGUACUGAGAUAGACGCUACUACGUGCAGCAGCGCGUAUACGUAGGGUCAGCGUAUCGGAAUACUGGCGUAAAGCGUGCGCAGGCGGUGUGCAAGACCGAUGUGAAAUCCCCGGGCUUAACCUGGGAAUUGCAUUGGUGACUGCACGGCUAGAGUGUGUCAGAGGGGGGUAGAAUUGCACGUGUAGCAGUGAAAUGCGUAGAGAUGUGGAGGAAUACCGAUGGCGAAGGCAGCCCCCUGGGAUAACACUGACGCUCAUGCACGAAAGCGUGGGGAGCAAACAGGAUUAGAUACCCUGGUAGUCCACGCCCUAAACGAUGUCAACUAGUUGUUGGGGAUUCAUUUCCUUAGUAACGUAGCUAACGCGUGAAGUUGACCGCCUGGGGAGUACGGUCGCAAGAUUAAAACUCAAAGGAAUUGACGGGGACCCGCACAAGCGGUGGAUGAUGUGGAUUAAUUCGAUGCAACGCGAAAAACCUUACCUACCCUUGACAUGCCACUAACGAAGCAGAGAUGCAUUAGGUGCUCGAAAGAGAAAGUGGACACUGGUGCUGCUUGGCUGUCGUCAGCUCGUGUCGUGAGAUGUUGGGUUAAGUCCCGCAACGAGCGCAACCCUUGUCUCUAGUUGCUACGAAAGGGCACUCUAGAGAGACUGCCGGUGACAAACCGGAGGAAGGUGGGGAUGACGUCAAGUCCUCAUGGCCCUUAUGGGUAGGGCUUCACACGUCAUACAAUGGUGCAUACAGAGGGUUGCCAAGCCGCGAGGUGGAGCCAAUCCCAGAAAAUGCAUCGUAGUCCGGAUCGUAGUCUGCAACUCGACUACGUGGAGCUGGAAUCGCUAGUAAUCGCGGAUCAGCAUGGAUCGUAUUUCCCG
RNAcentral lists this ribosomal RNA (1086 nucleotides) under uncultured bacterium. Its description in RNAcentral is "bacterial SSU rRNA". It matches the Rfam family "Bacterial small subunit ribosomal RNA", at positions 1 to 1376 of the family's 1533-position model. The record is from RNAcentral.